AGAGGCCUACCAUGGUGGUAACGGGUAACGGGGUGUUAGGGCACGACACCGGAGAGGGAGCCUGAGAAACGGCUACCACAUCCAGGGAUGGCAGCAGGCGCGCAAAUUACCCAAUCCCGACACGGGGAGGUAGUGACAAUAAAUAACAAUACGGGGUUCUUUCGGAUCUCGUAAUUGGAAUGAGUACAAUUUAAAUCUCUUAACGAGGAACAAUUGGAGGGCAAGUCUGGUGCCAGCAGCCGCGGUAAUUCCAGCUCCAAUAGCGUAUAUUAAAGUUGUUGCAGUUAAAAAGCUCGUAGUUGAAUUUCGGGAUCGAAUUGUCGGUCGUGCUUCGGUACGCACUGGCAUUAUCGGUUUCUACCUUCUGAAGAACCGCGAUGUCAUUAAUUUGGUGUCGUGGGGAAUCAGGACUGUUACUUUGAAAAAAUUAGAGUGUUUAAAGCAGGCGUACGCUUGAAUACAUUAGCAUGGAAUAAUGGAAUAGGACGUUUGAUUCUAUUUUGUUGGUUUCUAGGAUCGACGUAAUGAUUAAUAGGGAUAGUUGGGGGCAUUAGUAUUCAAUUGUCAGAGGUGAAAUUCUUGGAUUUAUUGAAGACUAACUACUGCGAAAGCAUUUGCCAAGGAUGUUUUCAUUAAUCAAGAACGAAAGUUAGGGGAUCGAAGACGAUCAGAUACCGUCGUAGUCUUAACCAUAAACUAUGCCGACUAGGGAUCGGAUGAUGUUAAUUUUUUAAUGACUCAUUCGGCGCCUUACGG
This 756-nucleotide ribosomal RNA is filed under the name uncultured Glomeromycotina. RNAcentral's name for it is "SSU rRNA". It matches the Rfam family "Eukaryotic small subunit ribosomal RNA", at positions 335 to 1093 of the family's 1831-position model. The record is from RNAcentral. Lineage: Eukaryota; Fungi; Glomeromycota.